This 1387-nucleotide long non-coding RNA is filed under the name Sus scrofa (pig). RNAcentral's name for it is "lncRNA (ENSSSCG00005044481.1)". The record is from RNAcentral. Lineage: Eukaryota; Metazoa; Chordata; Mammalia; Artiodactyla; Suidae.
GUGUUUAAAUGUAUGUGUUUUAUUCUGUAAAAAGUAAAAAUAAAAUUUCAGAAUAAAAAAAUUUAUAUGUACAGGAAGAGGAGGAAGAGGAGGAAGGACAUAUUUUAUCAGUAUGACAGACUGCACAAGACAUGUUAAAAGGUUUUUUGAAUAAACCAAAUGCUAUCUGCCUUAGAAAUCAUCUGCACUUCAUGAUUAGAAGACACAGAUUCAAGGUAAAAGCUCUUUGAAUACUCAAAAUAUAAAUGUUAUAUAUUUGGUGUUUGCAAAAGGAAAACAUAUCACUUGGAGAUAAAAUAUUACCUAACUUUACUUCCUAUAAACAUUUAAUUGAUAACAUCAAAAAGAAUCAAAGCUAGUGUACCAUUACAUAUUUGCAACUUAAAACCAUAUGUAAUUAUCAAUAAACUCUGAAGACCUAUCACAAAAUGCUUUCAUUUUGAAAAAUGGGCACUUUCAGGAAUGGACACACAAUAUUCCUAUCAUAUUGCUCUUUAAUUCAAAUAAUUUAAAUGAGAUACAUUGGAAAUAAGAUAUAAUUCACAAUUAAUCAUAUAAUCUGAAUCAAGGAUUAGGAGCCAUAAAUAUUUAAUAGAAUGCAGUACUGAUACUAAUAAACAUGAUGUCACUAAACAUAAAAAUAUUAAUAAGUAUGUAUGUGUGAUGACAAAAAAAAUUCUCAGAAAACAAAUCCUUUACAUAGGGGAAAUAUGUUCAGGCCAUAUAUAAUCAAAAAUCCAAACAUAUCCUGAGUUAAAAUGAUACAAUACAUUUAAGAGCAUGUAAUAAUUUAUUAAUACAUUCAAUAUUUUUGAUCACUUUUUUGGUUUAAGACUAAGUUCAGUAUGAUAUAUUUAGGAAAACAUUAUACAAAGAACAACCUAGAAUAGCAUCUGGCACUGUUAAGUACUUGACAAAUAUUUGUUAAGUCAAUAAAAAAAUGUUGAAUGUUUGAAUGUCAAUAUGCCACAAUCCCCCUGUGACUCUUAUUCCAGCUCAGCGAAAAAUAACAAAACCAAAUCUAAGGAUGAGAGAAAAAAGUCUAUAGUGUAUGCCCAUAUCUAACCUAUUUCUUAUCCUUUUGGGGCAAAUUUUCUAAAUGGCCUUUUUUUUCAGAUUUUGCAUAAUCUGUCUCUGUUAUAAUGAACAUCUUUUGACAUUACUGCCUUGGUUUACCAAGUCAUGAAUUCUCCACCAAUAAGAGCUUCUGGAACUCUCAUCUUUCAUGAUUUUUAACCAACAAAGAAGAAAGAUACUUUUCACCGACUCUACUUGUUUAGAGGGAAUUCCCAAAUCUGAAAUAUAAAAUAAAGCAUCUCUGACAUUCAUUAAAACAAAAACAUUUACCCUCUUUAGAGAGAGAGAGGACAAGAUGGCGGAGGAGUAG